UUUCCCUUCCUCACUUACACCCCUGGGCUCCAUUAAGCAGUCCAGCUGUGGGCCACGUUUACCAGGUGCCCACAGGUCACCCCUAGAAGGCCACACAGGGGUUGCACCCAGGGCCUUGCUUGGCACUUUCAGAGUUUAUAGCCUCUGGACCAGAAAAGGACUGACCCAUUUCAUUGGUUGAGGUCAGUAGGAAAUUAAAGUAAUUAGUGGGAACAGGACUGGGCUGGGUGUCAGAAGACCUGGGUUGACUUCCAGCUGGGCCAUUGCUUAGCCACGUGACCUUGAGCAAGGAACUUAAUCCCGGCAGACCCAAGUUUUUUUUCAGUUGAGAAAUGAGGUUUUGAUAAAAGUGAUCUGGGGAAUAAACCUGAGCCAAGUGAUCGAUUUUGUGUGCACGUGGGUGGCUGUGCCUCUGCAGCUAUGUGUAUACGUGUAAAGUAUGAAAGGAUCAAUCCAAGGAGAAAUGGAUUUGAGCAACCACAGCACAAACAUUCAGAAGUGGAAGUGAGCAGCCGGGAUGGUGAGAAGACUGAUUUGGAUGAUUCAGAAACAGACCUCUGCUCCUCGGGAUCUGACAGCUCACAGUGAAUUGGGACAAUAAUACUACACGAGACACAGCAGAGACCAACGCCCCAGGAGCCCCAGGAAACGGACUACGACCGAGGGAGAACACCCCAGAAUUCAUCUCAGGGAAAAUGUCUUUGAACCUACCUGAACUUGAGCUCUUCCAACGCCGGUGGCUGAAAGAAAACACACUUCAUGCUCUCCUCCUUGGUCUAAUUUCAGUGAUUAUUCCUUCCCAUCUUGCGCAGCUGCCAUCAGACUGAUUUUAGUUCCUGGGGAUUAAACAGUUUCUGAAGGUUGUUAUCACUCCCCUUCAGUGGAGCAUAUCUUCAAACACCUUCCUGGAUAAUUACCAUGGCCCAGUGAUUGGGCAAUCACCAGAGUGAUUUUAAACACACACACACACACACACACACACACAUUCUUCUCCAGCGUGUUCCUUUGUGUUUGUUUUGGUUUUGCAUUUUCAAAGCCCAGCGGUUCGUGAGAGACAGUAGAAGGACAAAAU
Long non-coding RNA from Bos indicus x Bos taurus (hybrid cattle), 1072 nucleotides. The record is from Ensembl. Lineage: Eukaryota; Metazoa; Chordata; Mammalia; Artiodactyla; Bovidae.